Molecule: long non-coding RNA, 4555 nt
Filed under: Sus scrofa (pig)
Lineage: Eukaryota; Metazoa; Chordata; Mammalia; Artiodactyla; Suidae
Description: lncRNA (ENSSSCG00000060979.1)
Source: RNAcentral
AGUUCAUUUUUGCCUAACAAUUCCAUCUUCCACUCAGUUCUCUCUUCUGGCAUUUUCCUUAAGCAGUCAGGAGGGGUCAAGCCACAGCUCCAACACCUUGCUUAGAAAUCACUUCAGCUCAGUAUCCAGUUUUAUCACUUUCAAGUUCCACAUUUCACAAAACACUAGAACAGAAACACAGUUCAGCCCAUGUCUUUGCCUCUCAAGGAUCACUUUUCCUCCAGUUUCCAGUCUGAGGUCUCAGCAGAAUGGCCUUUACUCCCAAUAUUUCUACCAACAUCCGCUUCAUGACUACUUAAGUGUUCUCCAAGAAGCCUGAUGCUUUCUCUACAGCUCUCCUCUUUUCUUUCUGAGUCCUCAUCAGAAUUAGACAUGGGUCAAGCAUGCACCUCCAAACUCUCCCAGCCUCUUUCCAUCACCCAGUUCCCAAGCUGCUUACACACGGUUAGGUAUCUGCAACAACAAUCUCACUCCCAGUACCAAUUUCGGACUUUGUCUAUUGAGGCUGCUCUAACAGGAUGCCACAGUGGCUUACAAACAACAGAAACACAUAAACAGAGUGGCUUAUAAACAACAGAAAUUUCUCUCCCAUGGUUCUGGAGGCCGGACACUCUAAGAUCAAGGCACCGGCAGAUUCAGUGUCUGCAGGUGCAAGCCUGCUUCGUGAUCCAGAAAGAAAGGACUUGGUAUGUUGGAGAAAAGUGAAAGUUGAUGCAAGAGAGUGUGGGGAACGAGGACAUGAAAUGAGAGUGAUAAAUAUGGCAGGAAGUAUGGCGUUCCUGUUGUGGCGCAGCAGAAGUGAAUCCGACUAGUAUCCAUGGGGACAUAGGUUCAAUCCCUGGCCUCACGAAGUGGGUUAAGGAUCUGGCACUGCCGAGAGCUGUGGUGUAGGUCGCAGACGUGGCUCGGAUCCCACGUUGCUCUGGCUGUGGUGUAGGCCCUAUUUAGCCUCUGGCCUGGGAACUUACAUAUGCUGCAGGUGCGGCCCUAAAAAGAAAAAGGGGUGGGGGGGUAGGAGCUAAACCAUCAGGGUAGGCUUGUGUGGAUGUGGAAGAGUGUUCAGCUUUUAUUCUAAGAACAACGGAAAUUCUCCAAAUAGCCUUCAUCAGAGGAAUGGAGGGGUGAAAUUCACAUUGUAUAACAUCCUCCGUGGCUGCUGGGUAGAAAGUGGUGUAGAGGGCUGCAGGAAUAUAACUGGGAAAACAGAUUUGGAGCAGGAGUCCAGAAGAGAGGUCACGCUGGUUGCACUUGGUUGAUGGCAGUAGAAACAGAAUGAUGUAGACUAACAGGAAAGAUAUUUCAGAAGUAAAUUCCAAAAUCUUAGUGAUGGAUUAAAUAUGGAAGGUAAGAGAGAAAGAAAAAUCAAGAAAGACUCCCAUGAUUCUGGGCUGGGCUGCUGCUAGGUGAUACCAUUUACAGAAACUUUGGAUAAACAUUUUGAGGAGUGACUAUUUUGGACAUUUCAUGGCUAAGAUAGAUGCAAAAUAUCCAAGUGGCGAUGUCAGAUCUUCAAAUAUUGUCAGUGGUGACAAGAAUAGGAUGACUAGAAAGACUAUUGGACAGAAGUCUUCAAGGAGUGAGCAGGAAUGGUGCAACUAAGAUUAAAGGGCACCGUCUUUAGUACCUAGUAUCUGGGGUAGCAUCAGUUCCUCUUCACCAACUGUUUCCUUGUUUAGCUACUGCUCCCUAGAGCUCAUCUGCCUUUUCCUCUUGAGGAGCUCCUUUGGAGUUCCUCAAAGUUUGAUUUCCUCAUGCUCACAGAUCAGCUUGAGGAGAUGAGGGACAAAGAGAACUAUUAGGGUAGGAAUGUCAGCCCUGAUUCUGAGUAUGUGUGGGGCCAGAAAAAUCAGGUUCCUGGUGGGGAACACUCUUGAGAGUUUUUGCUCCCCACAGGAUGAAAAGGAUCCCCUUUCAGGAUGAAGAUCACUUGGGUGAGGCUGCAAGAUCUACCAAUGGGAGUGCCCUGCUGGGAUGAAGAAAGAAGGACCAAGAUAUGAGACAGAAGGACAAAGAGGAAGGGUAUGUUAAAUCAGCUCCUAGCAUGUGCCAGACUUGUGUGAGGCUCCCGAGUUGCACUCUGCACAAAACCACCCGAUUCAAAGUAUAGAUACCACAGAUUUGCAUAUUUAUCCUGACAAUUGUCUGGCAGACAGUAGUGUUAUGGCGUCAACAGUGUCCCCUGCAAAUGCAUAUGUUGAACCUCUAGCCCUCAGUGUAACUGUACUUGGAGAUACGGCCUUUAAGGAGGUAAUCAAAGUUAAGCACAUCACAAGCACGGAACCCUAAUCUGAUAGGACUGGUGUCCUUGUAAGAAGAGGACAAGACACCCAGAGAAGCCAUGCAAGGACAGAGCGAGGCGGCCAAAUGCAAUCCAACCAGAGGGGCUUCAGGGGAGACCAAGCCCGUCGGCACUAUGAUCGUGACCAUCCAGACUCCGGGACUGCGAGAAAUAACCUCUGCUGUGUAUGCCACCCAGCUUGUGACAUUCUGCCGUGGCUCUAGAAAAUUAGCGUAAGCAGUAAAGUGUCUUGUUCUAAGUAUCAGUAUGUUAAGGAGAUGUGCUAAUAGGCAGAAGUCAAAUCACUUGAGAAAAUGGUUGAUUUUUUUUAAUUUUUUAAAUUUUUUUUUGCAAUUCACAUAAAGUUGUCAUAGAGACCAGCAGUGACCCUGAGGGUCACUAGACUAGACCAGAUGCCUUCUUUUACGUUGUCUCAUUUCAUCAGUAUGCAGCUCCUCGAUAAAAGUAGUAAGAUGAAGAAAAAGAAACUCAGAGAAGCUCAGUGACUUGAUUAGAGUCAACCAGACACUGGUAAAAAGCUGAGCUAAAAUUUGUAUCUCUAAAAACAAAACAAAACAAAAAACCACUGGGAGCUCUAGAGGUUCCUAAAAACACUUAGGAUGGAGCAUGAUAAUGUGAUAAUGAUAAUGUGACAAAAAAGAAUGUAUAUGUGUAUGUGUAUAUGUAUAUGUGUAUAUGUAUAUGUACAUGUAUGUGUAUGUAUAUAUGUGUAUGUGUAUGUGUGACUGGGUACAGUAGAAAAUUGACAGAACUUUGUAAACCAGCUAUAAUGGAAAAAAAUAAAAAUCAUUUUAAAAAUAAAUAAAUAAAUAAAAUAAAAUUUGUAUCUCAAUCAGGCUACUCCAAAACUCACCUCUUUCCCACCUUACCACACUGUCUCCCAUUGCCAAUUCUAGCAUAAAAGAGAUGCUACUAACAUCAACUGCACUUUUACUCAGCCUCAGACAUUCUGCCAGACGCGCUCCCAUAUAAUGAUGAAGUAGGUAUUAUUAACUCUGCCAGAGAUAAGGAAACGGAGUCCCAGAGAAGUUAAGUAACUUGCCCAAGGCCACACAGCUUAGCAAAUUGUAACCUGCCUGUUACAGCUCCUUUCUCCCCCUCUUCACCUCACACUCCACUAUUGAACGUGCCCUCUUCUCAUAUGCAAUUCAUAAACAGAAAAGAGCCUUUCUCUAUUCGACAUAGCAUUUAUUUCCUUUUAACACAAACAACAUUAUCGAAAGUCAUUUACAAAGUAAAUACGAUAGCAAUUGUCUGAAAAUGCAUUUGCUCCCUAAAAGUAAAUAAAUGAAGAUCAAGUUGGAGUUAAACAACUGCUGCAUUUCAUUGAAUUUUUAUCUAGGUCUUUCUCUUGAUGUAUAUAGUUUUUACUUGGUUGAAUUAUUAAUUUCACUCUAAAGAUUAAUUUGGCCCUCUAAAAGAGCAUAAAAAUUAAUAUUCAGCCAAGAUAUGAAUCUUUUUUCAUUUUAAUUUUAGUGGAAAUCAAUUUGUUAAAAUAUUGUUGAGUGCCAUUUGUUACUUACUCACUCCCACUUUUCUGCUCAAGUUGAAGUAUUUGGAAAUAUCUACAUAAACACUUUUUGUCAAUAUUACCAAGAUUUAUGUUGCCAAGUUCCUGUAACUGCUACCUCUAAGAGCACUAUGAAUUAUGCUAUGUGAUGUUAGGUUUUAUUGAACUGAUAUAACAAAGAAAUGAUCAAUUAGAAAAAAACCUCACAAUGAUUUUUGUCUCCAGAAGGCAGUAUGUAGAAAUGACUUCGAGGUCAUUUGAAGAGAUACAACCAAAACACUGGCUGUAGCCCUUUUCAGGUCACCUGGUUGGUUAGGAGGCAAUUCCGUGCAUUUCUGAACACAUUCGCUUUGGUGGUCACUACGCAGGAUGGGGCUCCAACAAAACCCCCUAGCCAGAGUCAGAGUUAGGAUUUAUUCAGGUCUCUUCUCCCACACCCGCCCCCUCCUCUUCUUCCUCUCCUUCUUCUUCCCCGACCACCAAUUUCAGGGGUUCCCAUGACAAAGAACCACCAUCGGAGUUCCCAUCGCAGUUCAGUGCUUAAUGAACCCCACUAGUAACCAUGAGGUGGUCAGUUUGAUCCCUGGCCUCACUCAGUGGGCUAAGGAUCCAGCGUUGCCAUGAGCUGUGGUGUAGAUGCAGCUCGGAUCCUGCAUCACUGUGGCUGUGGCAAAGGCUGCCAGCUACAGCUCCAGUCCGACCCCACUCUGAUUCGACCCUAGCCUGGGAACCCUAGCCCUAAAAAG